Molecule: long non-coding RNA, 261 nt
Filed under: Elaeis guineensis (African oil palm)
Lineage: Eukaryota; Viridiplantae; Streptophyta; Magnoliopsida; Arecales; Arecaceae
Description: long non-coding RNA (EGUI_LNC018024)
Source: RNAcentral
CGUUUUUUAUUUUAAGCCUUCGGAAAACAAAACUGACACAGACAGGAUCAAAAGCAAAGUCCAAGUAGGUAUAAUCUCCCCCCAACAAAAUAAGAUAUGAAGAAGAAAAGUACAGGCUCAUACAUAAAACAAAUAUCCAAUAUAAUCCAAUAUCGUCGAACAAAAUUGAACGGUAAAGAAAGACACCGGAAGAAAAAGGAUGAGCACUGCAUCCAUCGCUGGCACACAAUAUGACCAGCACCAUCUAAUACCAAAGCAAAC